This is a long non-coding RNA of Numida meleagris (helmeted guineafowl), 2195 nucleotides long. Lineage: Eukaryota; Metazoa; Chordata; Aves; Galliformes; Numididae. The record is from Ensembl.
UUUUAAUCAUUCUAAGUAAAUACCUUUAUGCUUCAGCAUUAAUGUUAGACCAACGCACCUUUCUGCUUGAACAAUUUGGUACCUCCACAAAGUACCUAAUUAUUCACUCUGGUAAUAUUCAGAUUCUUCAUCACAAAAAUGCAUAUGACCAUUUUACUGUUCCUGGUAUGGUAAAGUUAUCCAAACAUAUAAAAAGAAAUGUUUUGUAAACAAAAUCCUCAGUUUGUAAAAUGCAUCUGUUCAGCAUGCAAUAAGAUCCACAAGCUGCUGACCAGCGCCUUGUUUCUGGACAUCACAGCCAAAACAUAAAGUGCUGAAUGCUAUAAUGCAAAGUCUAAAUAGACUGCUGUGUUGAACCCACUUUGAAACAGGCGUGCAGAGGACAAAUGGGGAAUCAAGAAUCCAUGGGCACUCUUUCAUUUUUAAACUGUAUUCUUAUUCUUUCUUACUCACAAACGUUUUACAGCUUUUCAGUAUGUCUUCACUCAUCAGCUCACCCGCCCACAGUCUUCAGCCUUGCAUGACUGCUGUUGUGAAACUACCUCUGCCACCAGCACAAGGAAAUGGGAACACAGACAUCACCUCAUGCAGUAGUUUUCCACUCAUCAUAUUCCAACACACUUCAGAAGCUCAUAAUGAUUAACAACAGCCUGAGAAUAAAGUUGGACCCUCCAAACACUUAAAACCACAGCUCAGCACUACCUUCUCCAGCACACACUGUGGCAGCUGGACAGAGAAUGGACUCUCAGACAGAGCUACUCAAGAUCAUCUGUGAGACUUGCAACAUACCUUGAACUAAGCUUUUACUUCAGUCUCGACUCCCUGAAGCUGCUUCACACCACAGCAGAUCUUCCCAUCACUUCUCAAUUUCCCCUGCGAUACCACCCUUGGCAGUUUUCUGACUGCAGAGCGUUUCAGUCCUUCAGAAGUGCCACAGCUCACCAAAACCCAGCUAGUGCCUCCCACUUCAAAUUCUUGGCAUGGAGGAAAUGGUGGUGGAAACAAUCCUGGCACCAUGGGAAAUACUGCUGGUCAUUUGUGCUGCAGUGCUGAUCAUGAGCUUCCUUAUGGUCCUACCCCCUGCAGUCGUGGUGAUCUGGAGAAUGAAGCAUGUGCCUCAGAUCUCACUGCAUGGCUCGGUGUGAGCCAGCCACGCAUUCUUUGAAAAGCUGCUUCAGAACUAUGAAAUCUCUCAGGAUCACUGUUACUGCUCAUGGUCCAUCCCAAACUUGCUGUUUUCCUGUUCCACUGCUGUUAAGUCCCAGUAAAAAGAGAAUGUGUUGAAUUUUGUCUUCAUUUGCUGCAGCACUUUGCCUUUGAUUUUUUGGCUACACUGUAUGACUAUUGGUAAAAUAGAUAGUUCCUACAUUGUCUUUCAUUAUAAUGAACUGAAAACAAUACUGAAAAGUAAGCACUGUACAGUAUUGUAUUCCCUUAACUAGUACCAGUAAAGUCUGCCUCUCUAUAAUUACACUGCAAAUAUUACCAAAGCCUUUGAGAUGAUUGACAAGUUGUGGAUGUAUCAAAGUAAGCAGUAUAGUCUGAGGAGCUGCUGGUUUGGUCUGGUUGUACUAUGAAUCUUUCUGAUUUGAAACUGUUGGCAUAUUCCUUGUUGCUUUACUGCUAUAUGAAUUUUCUUCUCUUUGCUAAAUCCUGAGUGUCAGAAUGCAAAGCCCUUCCCACUCCAGGGCUGGAACAAGAGGCUUAGCCCAAUGCUCAGACAUGCCCAGCCAGACGCCAGCCUGUAGUUAAUACAAACAUACGGCAACUAUUUCCCUGAAUUACAUUAUGCAAAUUCAGUGUGGGAAAUAAUGUCAUUAAAUUUUCUUUAGUUUUUAACUGUGUAGUACAGGCUUAUUGGUUCAACUGCUCCUUCACACAUAUAAAUAAUAACUUGGACGGUGGGAAUAGAACAAAGCAACUUCUCUGUAAUUUUAUAACAAUAAUAAUUUUCAGCUUAAUAUCAAAUUCAUACAGUAUCAUAUUAAAGCUUUCCAGCCUAUUUCUUCCACAUUAAGUGAAGCUUCUUAGUAAGAUUCUUUAUGCAAAGAUUUAGCAGUUUCUAUUAGUUUACAAGAACAAUGGGCUUGAGUCCCUUACGAGGUCCAAUACUGUGUUUCUUUUCCUUUGUUAGUUGGUUUUGAAAGUUGCUAGAUUAGCUCAAUAAAACUCAGAGAAAAUUAUUUUUAGUACCA